Molecule: transfer RNA, 74 nt
Filed under: Tissierellia bacterium
Lineage: Bacteria; Bacillati; Bacillota; Tissierellia
Description: tRNA-Arg
Rfam family: tRNA
About the family: Transfer RNA (tRNA) molecules are approximately 80 nucleotides in length.
Source: RNAcentral
GCACCCGUAGCUCAACUGGAUAGAGCAUCUGACUUCGGAUCAGAGGGUUGGGGGUUCGAGUCCUCUCGGGUGUA